UACAGAGGUCUCAAGCGUUGUUCGGAUUCAUUGGGCGUAAAGGGUGCGUAGGUGGCGCCGUAAGUCGGGUGUGAAAUUUCGGAGCUUAACUCCGAAACUGCAUUCGAUACUGCGGUGCUUGAGGACUGGAGAGGAGACUGGAAUUCAUGGUGUAGCAGUGAAAUGCGUAGAGAUCAAGAGGAAGACCAGUGGCGAAGGCGGGUCUCUGGACAGUUCCUGACACUGAGGCACGAAGGCCAGGGGAGCAAACGGG
RNAcentral lists this ribosomal RNA (253 nucleotides) under uncultured bacterium. RNAcentral's name for it is "partial 16S ribosomal RNA". It matches the Rfam family "Bacterial small subunit ribosomal RNA", at positions 524 to 776 of the family's 1533-position model. The record is from RNAcentral.